This 158-nucleotide unclassified non-coding RNA is filed under the name uncultured Ascomycota. RNAcentral describes it as "sequence contains ITS1". The record is from RNAcentral. Lineage: Eukaryota; Fungi; Ascomycota.
CAGAGUUGCAAAACUCCCAAACCAUUGUGGACGAACUUGACAGUUGCUUCGGCAGGUCGGCCUAGCGCCGCCCGGUGGCUCAUCGCGAGCCCGCCUGCCGGAGUUCCCGAAACUCUUGAUUAUUAUUGGUAUCUCUGAGUAGCUUAUUUAAUAAGUCA